CAGUCGCCGCGGGAAAACGAAGGGGGCUAGCGUUGUUCGGAAUCACUGGGCGUAAAGCGCACGUAGGCGGACUUUUAAGUCAGAGGUGAAAUCCCAAGGCUCAACCUUGGAACUGCCUUUGAUACUGGAAGUCUUGAGUUCGGGAGAGGUGAGUGGAACUGCGAGUGUAGAGGUGAAAUUCGUAGAUAUUCGCAAGAACACCAGUGGCGAAGGCGGCUAACUGGUCCAUAACUGACGCUGAGGUGCGAAAGCGUGGGGAGCAAACAGGAUUAGAUACCCCUGUAGUCCCUGUCUCUUAUAC
Molecule: ribosomal RNA, 301 nt
Filed under: uncultured bacterium
Lineage: Bacteria
Description: partial 16S ribosomal RNA
Rfam family: Bacterial small subunit ribosomal RNA
Source: RNAcentral